This is a non-coding RNA of Circinella umbellata, 72 nucleotides long. The record is from the annotation of a GenBank genome assembly. NCBI's taxonomy places the organism in Eukaryota, Fungi, Mucoromycota, Mucoromycetes, Mucorales, Lichtheimiaceae.
GGCUCGAUGGUUUAGUGGUAUAAUUCUCGCUUAGGGUGCGAGAGGUCCCGGGUUCGAUUCCCGGUUGAGCCC